This 497-nucleotide ribosomal RNA is filed under the name uncultured bacterium. RNAcentral's name for it is "partial 16S ribosomal RNA". It matches the Rfam family "Bacterial small subunit ribosomal RNA", at positions 28 to 507 of the family's 1533-position model. The record is from RNAcentral.
GAUGAACGCUGGCGGCGUGCCUAAUACAUGCAAGUCGAGCGAACAGACGAGGAGCUUGCUCCUCUGACGUUAGCGGCGCACGGGUGAGUAACACGUGUAUAACCUACCUAUCAUACUGGGAUAACUUCGGGACACCGGCUCUAAUACCGGAUAAUAUAUUGAACCGCAUGGUUCAAUAGUGAAAUUCGGUUUUUCUGUCACUAAUCGCUGGUUCCGCGCUGCAUUAGCUAGUUGGUAAGUUAAUGGCUUAUCAAGGCGACGAUGCGUAGACGAACUGAGAGGGUGAUAGGCCACACUGGAACGGAGACACGGUCCAGACUCCUACGGGAGGGAGCAGUCGGGAAUGUUCCGCAAUGGGCGAAAGCCUGGCGGAGCAACGCCGCGUGAGAGAUGAAGGUCUUCGGAUCGUAAAACUCUGUUAUUAGGGAAGAACAAAUGUGUAAGUAAAUAUGCACGUCUUGACGGUACCUAAUAAAAAAGCAACGGCUAACUACGUG